RNAcentral lists this unclassified non-coding RNA (337 nucleotides) under soil metagenome. Its description in RNAcentral is "partial contains 5.8S ribosomal RNA, internal transcribed spacer 2, and large subunit ribosomal RNA". The stretch from base 1 to 120 matches the Rfam family "5.8S ribosomal RNA", at positions 35 to 154 of the family's 154-position model. The record is from RNAcentral.
GAUGAAGAACGUAGCGAAAUGCGAUAAGUAAUGUGAAUUGCAGAAUUCAGUGAAUCAUCGAAUCUUUGAACGCACAUUGCGCCCCUUGGUAUUCCGGGGGGCAUGCCUGUUCGAGCGUCAUUUCAACCCUCAAGCUCUGCUUGGUAUUGGGCUUCGUCCUCCUCGGACGCGCCUCAAAGACCUCGGCGGUGGCGUCUUGCCUCAAGCGUAGUAGAAACACCUCGCUUUGGAGUGCAUGGCGUCGCCCGCCGGACGAAACCUUUUGUAUUUUCUCAAAGGUUGACCUCGGAUCAGGUAGGGAUACCCGCUGAACUUAAGCAUAUCAAUAAGCGGAGGA